RNAcentral lists this ribosomal RNA (460 nucleotides) under uncultured bacterium. RNAcentral describes it as "partial 16S ribosomal RNA". It matches the Rfam family "Bacterial small subunit ribosomal RNA", at positions 338 to 795 of the family's 1533-position model. The record is from RNAcentral.
CCUACGGGGGGCAGCAGUGAGGAAUAUUGGUCAAUGGACGAGAGUCUGAACCAGCCAAGUAGCGUGAAGGAUGACUGCCCUAUGGGUUGUAAACUUCUUUUAUAUGGGAAUAAAACGUUCCACGUGUGGGAUUUUGCAUGUACCAUAUGAAUAAGGAUCGGCUAACUCCGUGCCAGCAGCCGCGGUAAUACGGAGGAUCCGAGCGUUAUCCGGAUUUAUUGGGUUUAAAGGGAGCGUAGGCGGGUUGUUAAGUCAGUUGUGAAAGUUUGCGGCUCAACCGUAAAAUUGCAGUUGAAACUGGCAGCCUUGAGUACAGUAGAGGUAGGCGGAAUUCGUGGUGUAGCGGUGAAAUGCUUAGAUAUCACGAAGAACUCCGAUUGCGAAGGCAGUCUACUGGACUGCAACUGACGCUGAGGCUCGAAAGUGUGGGUAUCAAACAGGAUUAGAUACCCUAGUAGUC